GCAAACUUGGUCAUUUAGAGGAAGUAAAAGUCGUAACAAGGUUUCCGUAGGUGAACCUGCGGAAGGAUCAUUAACGAGUAAGGGUCUCUCAGGCCCGACCUCCCAACCCUCUGUCUACUAGACCUCUGUUGCUUCGGCGGACCCGUCCCAAACGGACCGCCGGAGGACCGCCCAUCGUGCCGCGUCCUCUGGCCAGCGUCCGCCGAUAGCCCCUUCAAACUCUGGAAUAAUCAUGAUUUUACCGUCUAAGUGAUUUUAUUCAAUUAAAAGCAAAAACUUUCAACAACGGAUCUCUUGGUUCUGGCAUCGAUGAAGAACGCAGC
Molecule: unclassified non-coding RNA, 323 nt
Filed under: uncultured fungus
Lineage: Eukaryota; Fungi
Description: partial contains small subunit ribosomal RNA, internal transcribed spacer 1, and 5.8S ribosomal RNA
Rfam family: Eukaryotic small subunit ribosomal RNA (bases 1-73)
Source: RNAcentral